Molecule: long non-coding RNA, 504 nt
Organism: Chiroxiphia lanceolata (lance-tailed manakin)
Lineage: Eukaryota; Metazoa; Chordata; Aves; Passeriformes; Pipridae
Exons: 2
Source: RefSeq, a predicted model, not a curated record
UGUUGGGCCGUAGGUUGGACUUGAUCCCAGAGGCCUUUCCCAGCACCGGGCCUAAACCUGGGGUGGUGAGGGGGGUGUGUGUGUCGCAGGCAGGGACACCAGGGUGUAUGGCUGCCCCCGGGGCAUGCGAGGGGCAGAGGAGCCCUCAGAUGCUGAAGACCACCGUGCUUGCCAAUGUGUCAGCCGUCUGAGAGUUUCCAGAUGGCCCCAGCAAGCGGGACUGGCCCUGCCUCCAACAGCCAGUGCAGGGGACAGUCGGAGGCCACCGAGUCGCCCCGCUGGCCUUGCUGAGCCACGGCUCUGCAGGGACCGUGCCUGUGCCAGCGCUGAUGUGACCCCUCUCCUCUCCCGUGGGCAUUCUCUGCGCUCUGCAUGGUUGGACACCUGAAAACUGCCGGUCCCUCUGUGCUUGGCUGCAACAGGGCUCUGGGGAAGCUUUGUUUUUGACUAGCAUCACUGGGGAAGCAGAAAGAUUUUGGCUGUAUUCUGCAUGAAAAAUAAUAA